Molecule: ribosomal RNA, 253 nt
Filed under: uncultured bacterium
Lineage: Bacteria
Description: partial 16S ribosomal RNA
Rfam family: Bacterial small subunit ribosomal RNA
Source: RNAcentral
UACGGAGGGUGCAAGCGUUAAUCGGAAUUACUGGGCGAAAAGCGCGCGUAGGCGGCUGGAUAAGUCGAUUGUGAAAGCCCCGGGCUCAACCUGGGUAUUGCAGUCGAGACUGUUCGGCUAGAGUGUGGGAGAGGGCAGUGGAAUUCCCGGUGUAGCGGUGAAAUGCGUAGAUAUCGGGAGGAACAUCAGUGGCGAAGGCGACUGCCUGGCCCAACACUGACGCUGAGGUGCGAAAGCGUGGGUAGCAAACAGG